This 2875-nucleotide long non-coding RNA is filed under the name Homo sapiens (human). RNAcentral's name for it is "HSALNT0125316". The record is from RNAcentral. Lineage: Eukaryota; Metazoa; Chordata; Mammalia; Primates; Hominidae.
GGAAAAAGAAAAUAUUUGCCUUUAAGCUCUGGAGAAGAGCUAUCCUCUCCUUGACUGCCCCUUCGAGUCCUCAGGUCUGGGGAUUUUACCUCCCUCCACCAGAACAAAGCUCCCUUUAGAGUUUAGGAAACCUUGUGGCCAGACUAGAGUGGGAAGAUUAAAAUGGCAAUUGCAAUGGAAUUGAACUUAAUGCGGGAACCACAGAUCCUGUGUUUCUACAACCUUAGAGGACGAAUUGAAAUCAGCAUAGAUAAACCUGGAGUAUUGAGGACUGGGCAAUCAGGAAUAUUUAAAAUGCGAAUAAGCUUCUUGUCUUUAAAAAUGUUUUUAAGAAGAGUUGCAGUGGUUUCGUUCACUUAGUCUAUUUUGUGGAUUCAAAGGGACAUUUAAGAGGACAGCAUGGGUGUCCCCUAUUAUAUCGUUGUGUUAAAAGGAGAUGGGCCUGGAGUCAGACUGCCUAGAUCCCAGCUCUGCCUCUCAUUAGUUGUGUGAACUUAGUCAAAGUACUGAGAUUUCAAAGCUCAGUUUCCUCUUCUGAUAAAUAAGGAUAAGAAGAGAACCUUAGAGAACUGUUAUGAGGAUUAAAUAAGAUAAUGCAUGUGAAAUUGUUAGCAUAGGCUUUACGCAUGGCACUCUGCUGUAAGUAUCAUUAAAAGCCUUCCAAAAUUCCCUUACAGCAGAAAGCAAGUAGUACUGGAUCCUUUUGGCUUUUGCUGGGUAAUGGCAAGAGCACUGUCUUGCUCUUCCACACUCCCCUUUUCUCAGUCCCUUUGCCCUCAAUCCCUUCAUCCUUCACCUCCCUCAUAUGGGUCUUAUCCGAAACUUUAGGACUUUGCCUCGAGCUUGAGGAGAGGUAAUGCAUAUGUUACCAGAAAGGGGGUCCAAUACAGACCCCAAGAGAGAGUUCUUGGAUCUUGCACAAGAAAGAAUUUGAGGUGAAUCCAUAAAAUGAAAGCAAGUUUAUUAAGACUGUAAAGGAAUAAAAGGGCUAUUUCAUAGGCAGAGCAGUGGCAUGGGCUGCCUGGCUGAGUAUAGUUAUAGUUAUUUCUUGAUUAUAUGCUAAACAAGGGAUGGAUUAUUCAUGAGAUGUUCAGGAAAGGGGCAGAUGAUUCCCAGAACUGAGGGCUCCUCCUGCUUUUAGAACAUAUAGGGUAACUUCUGGAUGUGGCCAUGGAAUUUGUAAACUGUCAUGGUGCUAGUGGGAGUGUAUUUUAGGCUGCUAAUAUAUUAUAAUUAGCAUAUAAUGAACAGCUGAGACAGCCAAAGAUCACUUUCAUUGCCAUCUUGGUUUUGGUAGGUUUUGGACGGCUUCUUUAUUGCAUCCUGUUUUAUCAGCAAGGUCUUUGUGACCUGUACCUUGUGCUUACUCCUAUCUCAUCCUGUGACUAAGAACACCUGCUGUCCUGGGAAUGCAGCCCAGUAGGUCUCAGUCUUAUUUAUUUAUUUAUUUAUUUUGAGACGGAGUUUCACUCUUGUCACCCAGGCUGGAGUGCAAUGGCGCGAUCUUGGCUCAUUGUAACCUCUGCUUCCUGGGUCCAAGCACUUCUCCUGCCUCAGCCUCCAGAGUAGCUGGGAUUACAGGCAUGCGCCACCAUGCUGGCUAAUUUUUUAUAUUUUUAGUAGAGAUGGGGUUUCACCAUGUUGGCCAGGCUGGUCUCAAACUCCUGACCUCAGGUGAUCCACCUGACUUGGCCUCCCAAAGUGCUGGGAUUACAGGUGUGAGUCACUGCGCCCGGCCAGUCUCAGGCUUAUUUUACUCAGCCUCUAUUGAAGAUGGAGUCACCUGGUCCAAAUGCUUCUGAUACAUUGAAGAGUAACUUAUACUCUUUUCCCAAAUUCUACUGAACAAACCUUUAGAAGAGUGAAGGAUUUUUCUAGAAUGUAAACCUAAUUCAUUAUAGAAAAUUGAAGUAGGACCCUGUAAGGCUAUCUGUGGGCUCUCAUGGGGUGUGUGUGUGUGUGUGUGUGUGUGUGUGUGUGUGUUGGAGAAGUGGUAGUGAAGAUGAUGGUUGUGAUGAUGGAGAAUGAAAAUUGCAACUACUGUGUGCAGUACCAUGACUGCCAUUACACCUUAAUUUUGGAACAGAGUUCCAGAAGCUUUUAUGCUCUCAGAGGUGAAAUGCAUAAUAUGCAUUUAUCAUUAUCAUGGCUCUUUUGUGAUCCCUGAACAAUAGAUGAAUGAAGAGCUCCUGAAUGAAUUUCUAAUUGAAAUGGCUUUUUCAGUAGGGGCUUUCCAUUUGCUUCCAGCUUCCUCCAGGUUGUCAGUCCUCUCUUUAUUUGUAAGUUUUAAUACUAUUUUUGAAAGCAGGAUAACACCCAUCAGAGCUGCAGCAGUCCAGUUGUGCAAGGCAUUUAAUGCCCAGUCACGCAGUCUGAAUCCAACCUGAAGUCUGCUUGUCAAGCCAUUAGCCUUAUCCCUGUGGCGUCUGCAUGGAGAAGGAAAGCCUUUUUUACCUCCAAAUUCUCACAAAAAUCCAGCGUGGGAUAGUGCAGUCCUCCCCAUUUAGCCAUCUGAUGCUCUCCCCUCUCUGAGGGUAAUACUGAAGCACACACAGCAUACUGGACUGUGCCACCCCGCUGAGCUCAAGCUUACAUUGCAAGAAGCUGCAGAUCUGUUAAUGCACUUUCAAACCCAUGCACUGCCUUCUCUUUUGCUUAUCCCUGAAGGGAAGUAUUUUUAGUCCCAGAUGCUGGAACUACUGUGAUUCAAAACCUUUUAGUAACUUUAUUUGGAAUGCUGAUGAGUUAAAACCAGAAUUAAACAAAACUAGGAAAUAUUUUUAAAGUAACAUUUAAUGAAUACACAUUUAUAAAAGCCAUCAUCCCUUAACAUGGGGAAAGUGUACAAAAAUAAUGUGAAAGUGUAAAAAUUUUU